AUGGGUCCUCCCCUUCAAGAAAUUAAUUUAAUAUCGUGUGGGCCUAUGGCCCACGUAUCAGAUAUUAAACUGAUAAGAACAGAUACUACACUUGAUCUUAGCCAAAAGGCCGAGAAAGGUAUGCUUUGUUCAGCAACACGUUUUCGUUUUUAUAUGGCAUGCAAGCUUCCCUGUUUUAUGAUGCUGGCGAUAUGGGACGAAAAAACGCAAGAUAUGAUGCAUUCUCUUUUCCCCACGACCAAUAUUCUCUUUUCCAUCAAUUUCACAAGUUCAUGA
Molecule: long non-coding RNA, 276 nt
Filed under: Prunus dulcis (almond)
Lineage: Eukaryota; Viridiplantae; Streptophyta; Magnoliopsida; Rosales; Rosaceae
Description: sRNA ncRNA
Source: RNAcentral